RNAcentral lists this ribosomal RNA (251 nucleotides) under uncultured bacterium. Its description in RNAcentral is "partial 16S ribosomal RNA". It matches the Rfam family "Bacterial small subunit ribosomal RNA", at positions 525 to 775 of the family's 1533-position model. The record is from RNAcentral.
ACGUAGGGGGCAAGCGUUAUCCGGAUUUACUGGGUGUAAAGGGAGCGUAGGCGGCCAUGCAAGUCAGAAGUGAAAGCCCGGGGCUCAACCCCGGGACUGCUUUUGAAACUGUAAGGCUAGAUUGCCGGAGAGGUAAGCGGAAUUCCUAGUGUAGCGGUGAAAUGCGUAGAUAUUAGGAGGAACACCAGUGGCGAAGGCGGCUUACUGGACGGUGAAUGACGCUGAGGCUCGAAAGCGUGGGGAGCAAACAG